This is a long non-coding RNA of Sinocyclocheilus anshuiensis, 643 nucleotides long. RefSeq lists it as uncharacterized. The transcript is spliced from 3 exons. The record is from RefSeq and is a predicted model, not a curated record. Lineage: Eukaryota; Metazoa; Chordata; Actinopteri; Cypriniformes; Cyprinidae.
CUGCUUUUGUGCUCCAGAGUCACAUAUAAGUGAAUAUAAUUGCGUUGACACGUGUUGUAAAGGUCACGUGAGCUCGUUUAAUGACUUUUAUUUUGUCGUUUUGACACAGGGUUUGAUUUAUGAUUUUAUUGAUAUGUUGCAGUAUUAAUCAGUGCAUCGGUGUCUGAGAUGUAGUUGUCUAGUGAUCUUUUCAGGUAGAUGUUGUAUUUCUGAGAGGAGCGCAGAAGGCUUGAAUACGGUUCUGAUCUCGGUGUGAGCUCGAUGGUGGAUCCGGUGUUUCCUCUCGCACCGAUCCCCGUUCAGCUUUUGAAGGUUAUUCUGCUCUGCACCACAUCAACUCUGUCCUUCUCUUUCAGCUCGCUGCCCUAGACUUGAACUCCGCUGAUGUUCAAGGAGUCCCUGGAAGGCGCUACAUUCCACCUCAUUUAAGGAACAAAGAAGCUUCCAAAAAUGAUUCUCCCGGAGGAUGGGAUAACGGACGCAGCAAUGGCUUCGUGAACGGCUGCCAUGAUGGCCGAGACAACCGCAUGAAUGGGGGCAACAGUUUCGGUGGCCGCGGCUCCAUGCGCAACGACCGCGGAGGAAGAGGAGGCUUCAGAGGUAAAACCAGCGGCUCCUACAACCCCAUCCAGCCAAUGCAGAG